RNAcentral lists this ribosomal RNA (268 nucleotides) under uncultured bacterium. RNAcentral's name for it is "partial 16S ribosomal RNA". It matches the Rfam family "Bacterial small subunit ribosomal RNA", at positions 524 to 787 of the family's 1533-position model. The record is from RNAcentral.
UACGUAGGGUGCAAGCGUUGUCCGGAAUUAUUGGGCGUAAAGAGCUCGUAGGCGGUUCGUCGCGUCGGCUGUGAAAUCCCGAGGCUCAACCUCGGGUCUGCAGUCGAUGCGGGCGGACUGGAGUUCGGCAGGGGAGACUGGAAUUCCGUGGUGUAGCGGGUGAAAUGCGCGAUAUCAGGAGGAACACCGGUGGCGAAGGCGGGUCGUCUGGGCCGAUACUGACGGCUGAGGAGCGAAAGCGUGGGGAGCGAACAGGAUUAGAGUACCC